RNAcentral lists this ribosomal RNA (1177 nucleotides) under Listeria monocytogenes. Its description in RNAcentral is "bacterial LSU rRNA". It matches the Rfam family "Bacterial large subunit ribosomal RNA", at positions 886 to 2059 of the family's 2925-position model. Lineage: Bacteria; Bacillati; Bacillota; Bacilli; Caryophanales; Listeriaceae. The record is from RNAcentral.
GUAAAGAGUCAUGGAGGUAGAGCACUGUUUGGACUAGGGGCCCUUCUCGGGUUACCGAAUUCAGAUAAACUCCGAAUGCCAUGUACUUAUACUCGGGAGUCAGACUGCGAGUGAUAAGAUCCGUAGUCGAAAGGGAAACAGCCCAGACCACCAGUUAAGGUCCCCAAAUAUAUGUUAAGUGGAAAAGGAUGUGGGGUUGCUUAGACAACCAGGAUGUUGGCUUAGAAGCAGCCACCAUUGAAAGAGUGCGUAAUAGCUCACUGGUCGAGUGACCCCGCGCCGAAAAUGUACCGGGGCUAAACAUAUUACCGAAACUGUGGAUGAACCUCUUUAGAGGUUCGUGGUAGGAGAGCGUUCUAAGGGCGGUGAAGUCAGACCGGAAGGACUGGUGGAGCGCUUAGAAGUGAGAAUGCCGGUAUGAGUAGCGAAAGAAGGGUGAGAAUCCCUUCCACCGAAUAUCUAAGGUUUCCUGAGGAAGGCUCGUCCGCUCAGGGUUAGUCGGGACCUAAGCCGAGGCCGAUAGGCGUAGGCGAUGGACAACAGGUAGAGAUUCCUGUACCAGUGCUAAUUGUUUAACCGAUGGGGUGACACAGAAGGAUAGGGAAUCGCACGAAUGGAAAUGUGCGUCCAAGCAGUGAGUGUGAGAAGUAGGCAAAUCCGCUUCUCGCGAAGCAUGAGCUGUGAUGGGGAAGGAAAUUAAGUACGGAAGUUCCUGAUUUCACGCUGUCAAGAAAAGCCUCUAGGAAGAGUAGUACUGCCCGUACCGCAAACCGACACAGGUAGAUGAGGAGAGAAUCCUAAGGUGAGCGAGAGAACUCUCGUUAAGGAACUCGGCAAAAUGACCCCGUAACUUCGGGAGAAGGGGUGCUCUAUUAGGGUGCAAGCCCGAGAGAGCCGCAGUGAAUAGGCCCAGGCGACUGUUUAGCAAAAACACAGGUCUCUGCAAAACCGUAAGGUGACGUAUAGGGGCUGACGCCUGCCCGGUGCUGGAAGGUUAAGAGGAGUGCUUAGCUUCGGCGAAGGUACGAAUUGAAGCCCCAGUAAACGGCGGCCGUAACUAUAACGGUCCUAAGGUAGCGAAAUUCCUUGUCGGGUAAGUUCCGACCCGCACGAAAGGCGCAACGAUCUGGGCACUGUCUCAACGAGAGACUCGGUGAAAUUAUAGUACCUGUGAAGA